UGGUUGUAGCUAAAUAAAUAUAGAGAAGUUGACUGGCCGAUUGUCGUGAGAUCGUACGAUCUCCGUCGACGAAUCCACCUCUCGAGCUUCUCACAUUU
Molecule: small nucleolar RNA, 98 nt
Organism: Malania oleifera
Lineage: Eukaryota; Viridiplantae; Streptophyta; Magnoliopsida; Santalales; Ximeniaceae
Product: small nucleolar RNA snoR109
Exons: 1
Source: RefSeq, a predicted model, not a curated record